ACGCAGUAGCAAUACUGAGUGGCAGACGGGUGAGUAACAUGUGGGAAUCUGCCUUGUGGUUCAGGACAACAUUGGGAAACCGAUGCUAAUACUGGAUAAGCCCUUACGGGGAAAGUUUUAAUGCCAUAAGAUGAGCCCGCAUUUGAUUAGUUAGUUGGUGAGGUAAUGGCUCACCAAGACAAUGAUCAAUAGCUGAUCUGAGAGGAUGAUCAGCCACACUGGGACUGAGACACGGCCCAGACUCCUACGGGAGGCAGCAGUGGGGAAUCUUGCACAAUGGAGGAAACUCUGAUGCAGCGAUGCCGCGUGAGUGAAGAAGGCCUUUGGGUUGUAAAGCUCUUUUGUAGGGGAAGAUAAUGACUGUACCCUAAGAAUAAGGUCCGGCUAACUUCGUGCCAGCAGCCGCGGUAAUACGAAGGGACCUAGCGUAGUUCGGAAUUACUGGGCGUAAAGCGCGCGUAGGCCGUUGAGUUAGUUAAUUGUGAAAUCCCAAAGCUUAACUUUGGAACUGCAAUUAAAACUGCUCGACUAGAGUUUGAUAGAGGAAAGCGGAAUACAUAGUGUAGAGGUGAAAUUCGUAGAUAUUAUGUAGAACACCAGUUGCGAAGGCGGCUUUCUGGAUCAACACUGA
This 631-nucleotide ribosomal RNA is filed under the name uncultured Pelagibacterales bacterium. Its description in RNAcentral is "bacterial SSU rRNA". It matches the Rfam family "Bacterial small subunit ribosomal RNA", at positions 66 to 743 of the family's 1533-position model. The record is from RNAcentral. Lineage: Bacteria; Pseudomonadati; Pseudomonadota; Alphaproteobacteria; Candidatus Pelagibacterales.